AUUGAACGCUGGCGGAAUGCUUUACACAUGCAAGUCGAACGGCAGCACGGACUUCGGUCUGGUGGCGAGUGGCGAACGGGUGAGUAACAUAUCGGAACGUAUCCAAUAAUGGGGGAUAACGAGUCGAAAGAUUCGCUAAUACCGCAUACGCCCUACGGGGGAAAGCUGGGGACCUUCGAGCCUGGCGUUAAUGGAGCGGCCGAUAUCUGAUUAGCUAGUUGGUGAGGUAAAGGCUCACCAAGGCGACGAUCAGUAGCUGGUCUGAGAGGACGACCAGCCACACGGGAACGGAGACACGGUCCAGACUCCUACGGGAGGCAGCAGUGGGGAAUUUUGGACAAUGGGCGCAAGCCUGAUCCAGCCAUUCCGCGUGAGUGAAGAAGGCCUUCGGGUUGUAAAGCUCUUUCGCAAGGGAAGAAAACUUAGCCACUAACAUUGGUUGAGGUUGACGGUACCUUGAUAAGAAGCACCGGCUAACUACGUGCCAGCCGCCGCCGUAA
Molecule: ribosomal RNA, 500 nt
Filed under: uncultured bacterium
Lineage: Bacteria
Description: partial 16S ribosomal RNA
Rfam family: Bacterial small subunit ribosomal RNA
Source: RNAcentral